AGGAUAAGAACCGUCCAGGCUAGCCAAGGAGACUGCCUAUGAGAUCAGUUGCCUGCCUGCUCCACCAAAAUGCAAGCGAGCGAGGGAGGCCACAGGCAAGUCAUCCUUGGCUACCAGGAUGAUCAGCCCUUAUCA
Molecule: microRNA precursor, 135 nt
Organism: Setaria italica (foxtail millet)
Lineage: Eukaryota; Viridiplantae; Streptophyta; Magnoliopsida; Poales; Poaceae
Source: Rfam